This 253-nucleotide ribosomal RNA is filed under the name uncultured bacterium. RNAcentral's name for it is "partial 16S ribosomal RNA". It matches the Rfam family "Bacterial small subunit ribosomal RNA", at positions 524 to 776 of the family's 1533-position model. The record is from RNAcentral.
GACGAGGGUCCCUAGCGUCGUUCGGAUUCAUUGGGCGUAAAGGGUGCGUAGGUGGCGCCGUAAGUCAGGUGUGAAAUCUCGGGGCUCAACCCCGAAACUGCACUUGAUACUGCGGUGCUCGAGUACUGGAGAGGAGAUUGGAAUUUACGGUGUAGCAGUGAAAUGCGUAGAUAUCGUAAGGAAGACCAGUGGCGAAGGCGAAUCUCUGGACAGUUACUGACACUGAGGCACGAAGGCCAGGGGAGCAAACGGG